UACGUAGGGUGCAAGCGUUGUCCGGAAUUAUUGGGCGUAAAGAGCUCGUAGGCGGUCUGUUGCGUCGGCUGUGAAAACCCGGGGCUCAACCCCGGGCCUGCAGCCGAUACGGGCAGACUAGAGUUCGGCAGGGGAGACUGGAAUUCCUGGUGUAGCGGUGAAAUGCGCAGAUAUCAGGAGGAACACCGGGGGCGAAGGCGGGUCUCUGGGCCGAUACUGACGCUGAGGAGCGAAAGCGUGGGGAGCAAACAGG
Molecule: ribosomal RNA, 253 nt
Filed under: uncultured bacterium
Lineage: Bacteria
Description: partial 16S ribosomal RNA
Rfam family: Bacterial small subunit ribosomal RNA
Source: RNAcentral